This 266-nucleotide ribosomal RNA is filed under the name uncultured bacterium. Its description in RNAcentral is "partial 16S ribosomal RNA". It matches the Rfam family "Bacterial small subunit ribosomal RNA", at positions 793 to 1055 of the family's 1533-position model. The record is from RNAcentral.
GUCCACGCUGUAAACGAUGGAUGCUAGUUGUUGGGGGGUUCCCCCUCAGUGACGUAGCUAACGCGUUAAGCAUCCCGCCUGGGGAGUACGGUCGCAAGAUUAAAACUCAAAGAAAUUGACGGGGACCCCGCACAAGCGGUGGAGCAUGUGGUUUAAUUCGAGGCAACGCGAAGAACCUUACCAGGCCUUGACAUGUCCAGUUUGAUCGUCAGAGAUGACUUUCUUCACUUCGGGUGGCUGGAACACAGGUGCUGCAUGGCUGUCGU